AAAUGUGUUCUCCUUUUUUUUUUGUCUUGCUGAGAAUUAAUAAUAGACAAUUGGCUUUUUCCGCAUCUGUUCACAAAAGACGAAAGAUGUUCCACAAUCACAUGGAUCUGAAAAUUAUCUUUCUUUUAGCUGGAUGUUCAGUGACUUCCAGCCUAUUUCCACCUCCACUUAUUUUUGGGACUAUGACUUCUGACAGCCUCAGUGAAGGAGAAACCAUCAAAAUAGCAUGUUGGGCACCUGAGCGGUAUGUGAAUGCCUGGUUUUUUUUGCUCAGGCUGAACCAAAGUCACCCAGUUCAGAGAGUGCCUGCUGCAGAAACCAAGCAUGAUGUUAGUUUCCUUCUAGAGAACAUCACCACAGCUGAUGGAGGGCAGUACCAGUGUCAGUAUGGUCUGUACAAUGGUAGCAAAUUGCUUCUGUCUAAACUCAGCCAAGUCCUGGAGUUUUCAGUGAAAGGGUCCAGCUUGACUACCUCUAUUCCAACAUUCCUUCCAAGGCAUGAUCCACAAGGUUCAGUCUGGUAUCUCCCCGUUGUUCUGAGUGUGGUUGGAGUACUGCUUCUACUAGUGAUCAUAGUGGUGACGGUGGCUGCUGUGAAGUACUGGAGACAGAAUCCUGUUGGACAAAAAGAAGCUAUCCGGCGACAGAAACAUCCAUUGAUAACUGUGUGUUCACUGUUACAAUGGUAAGUGAUUCUCAGAAGAACUGCAAAC
Molecule: long non-coding RNA, 713 nt
Filed under: Salvator merianae (Argentine black and white tegu)
Lineage: Eukaryota; Metazoa; Chordata; Lepidosauria; Squamata; Teiidae
Description: lncRNA (ENSSMRG00000004628.1)
Source: RNAcentral